CAUUUUCAGUAAAGAAGUCCUGAGUAAACACGUUGUCGUUGAAUACCGCUUCUCUGCCGAACCUUAUAUUAGUGCCUCAUGCAGUAAUGUCUCAGUUUUAUCUCAGUUAAUGCCUGCGGGCUAAGAAAACACUCUAAGGAAUUUUGCAAAAUGGCAAAGAUUAAAGGUCAAGUUAAGUGGUUCAACGAGUCUAAAGGUUUUGGUUUCAUUACUCCUGCUGACGGCAGCAAAGACGUGUUCGUACACUUCUCUGCAAUCCAGGGUAACGGCUUCAAAACUCUGGCUGAAGGCCAGAACGUUGAGUUCGAAAUUCAGGACGGCCAGAAAGGCCCAGCUGCAGUUAACGUCACUGCUAU
Molecule: small RNA, 356 nt
Filed under: Enterobacter chengduensis
Lineage: Bacteria; Pseudomonadati; Pseudomonadota; Gammaproteobacteria; Enterobacterales; Enterobacteriaceae
Description: cspA thermoregulator
Rfam family: cspA thermoregulator
Source: RNAcentral